AUGUUGUCGCUUACUUAAAUAAUUUUGUUAUCUUCAAUUUCCAUAAUGAGUGGAAAUUCUAAAAUCACUUUGAAGGGUAAUUUUUUCAGUUUUACGUGAACGUGUUCUCGGCCAAAUUCCACGAGUACACAAUAAUAGAUACCGAUUUGUUAUAAGGACUUGGCAUCAAUUUUAAAUUUAUAUGAAAAUUAACUUAAUUGUUUUUGGGACGAUACAUUUUCUUUUUUUAAAUUUUUCAUUAAAAUCGCCUUUAGACACAACCCCUUAAAUAUUGGUAGCGUGAGUGUGACCUGCUCUUAAGUUAUUAAACCUAUGCAAAUAUUGUGCAGGUACCUGUUGUACCUAUUUAUUAUUUAAAUAAACCACCACUACAGGAAUUUCGAUUAAUUUCGGUCUUAAUGGAUAAUAUUAUUUAUUUUUUAAAACUAAACAUCUCAUAAUAAUAUACUCGCAUAAUUUACUUAUUACAAAGUAAAGGUGAAAAGUUCAAGGUUUUCGGAUUUAUAAUUAUUAAAAAUAUAUUUGACGUUUCAAAGUUUACAUAAUUCACAAUAAUUUAGACGUUAUCUAAGGUCAAUUAUCGAGAAAUUAGUUAAUUUUCAAUUGGAAUUUCAAUUGCACGUAAAAUAUUUAAUAUACGUGCCUUUUAACAAAAAUAGUAAAAAAUCAACAUACAAGAAAAAUCAAAAAAUUAUCUCUCCAAUAUACCAACUAUACAACCUCUUCUAUCAGAAACCACCUCUAAAGUUGAUUAGAGCAAUAUAAAUCAGAGCUGAUAAAGAAGUUGUUUAGAUGGGAAUAAAUAAUAAUAUAAAAAAAAAUAGAUAUCAGUAUAGUGACUAAUACGUCAUUUCUCGCUUCGCUGAGAAUCUAAAAUGAACCCGGUGUAUAUCACACAGAAACGCAAUUUUAAUAUUACAUAUUUUGUUAUUUGUACAUUUUAUUGCUAAAAUGUGUUCUGUACAACAAUAUGUCAAAUUCAAUAAAAAUCAGUUUUCACGUUAAUAAAUACAAUCUAUUGUAUAUACAAUAUACGUACACAGUCUAAUCUAACCUACGUAUUCAAGUCAACUACAGCAUGUUUGAUAAAUUAUAAUAUUUGAUUAAAACAAUUUCGAAUUAUACAGUAAUUUAAAUUUUAAGCGAACAGAAAAUAUAUUUUAAUAUUGGUGUGCAAAGUUUCCUAUAAAUAAUAUAUCGAAUGAUACGAAUCUUGAUACUUUAGGUAGAUAUUUUUUAAAUUUUAAUUUUCUAGUAGAUUAAAAACAUAGAUUAUUUUUCCUAAGUAAAAUUUAAAAUAAGUUUUAUUGGGGCUCUAAAUUAAAUCAUUGUAUAGGUAUAUUAAUACGACAAUUAAGUAUGUAUACCUACUCGUAUGAUUAAACUUUAAAACAAAGAUUACAAAGAUGGUAAGUAUAAGUCACUGUAAUUAACAAUAAAAAGAUAGAAGUAGCGAUAAAUGAAUUCAAUGGAAAAAUAAUUCUGAGUGGGGCUCAGUAAACAUGUAUAUAAUUUGGUUGUAGAGUAGUUAAAAGUCGUGGUUUUACCUUUUGUAUAACUGAAAUAAAAUAAUUUUAAAAACCCAAAAUAUUGUCAUUUGUAAUGGAGUUUUUUUAAAAUUUUUUAAAAAGUCCGCUGGAAAUUUAAAAAGUGUUUCAAAUAAACUACCACUGAACAAAGAAUUUGCACUUUUUAAGAUAAGAUAUGAACAAUUUGUAGCUUUUUUGCCAACUG
Cinara cedri is the source of this 1734-nucleotide non-coding RNA. The record is from the annotation of a GenBank genome assembly. Lineage: Eukaryota; Metazoa; Arthropoda; Insecta; Hemiptera; Aphididae.